UCUAAUGUGGCAGAAUAGUGCAACGGAUUUAAGCCCCGUGUAUAAAUAUCCCUUUCUUUAGAA
RNAcentral lists this transfer RNA (63 nucleotides) under Tenebrionoidea sp. 15 KM-2017. RNAcentral's name for it is "tRNA-Leu". The record is from RNAcentral. Lineage: Eukaryota; Metazoa; Arthropoda; Insecta; Coleoptera.